ACUUAAAUUGAAGAGUUUGAUCAUGGCUCAGAUUGAACGCUGGCGGCAGGCCUAACACAUGCAAGUCGAGCGGUAGCACAGAGAGCUUGCUCUCGGGUGACGAGCGGCGGACGGGUGAGUAAUGUCUGGGAAACUGCCUGAUGGAGGGGGAUAACUACUGGAAACGGUAGCUAAUACCGCAUAAUGUCGCAAGACCAAAGUGGGGGACCUUCGGGCCUCAUGCCAUCAGAUGUGCCCAGAUGGGAUUAGCUUGUAGGUGGGGUAACGGCUCACCUAGGCGACGAUCCCUAGCUGGUCUGAGAGGAUGACCAGCCACACUGGAACUGAGACACGGUCCAGACUCCUACGGGAGGCAGCAGUGGGGAAUAUUGCACAAUGGGCGCAAGCCUGAUGCAGCCAUGCCGCGUGUGUGAAGAAGGCCUUCGGGUUGUAAAGCACUUUCAGCGGGGAGGAAGGCGGUGAGGUUAAUAACCUCAUCGAUUGACGUUACCCGCAGAAGAAGCACCGGCUAACUCCGUGCCAGCAGCCGCGGUAAUACGGAGGGUGCAAGCGUUAAUCGGAAUUACUGGGCGUAAAGCGCACGCAGGCGGUCUGUCAAGUCGGAUGUGAAAUCCCCGGGCUCAACCUGGGAACU
Molecule: ribosomal RNA, 634 nt
Filed under: Klebsiella pneumoniae
Lineage: Bacteria; Pseudomonadati; Pseudomonadota; Gammaproteobacteria; Enterobacterales; Enterobacteriaceae
Description: bacterial SSU rRNA
Rfam family: Bacterial small subunit ribosomal RNA
Source: RNAcentral